ACGUAGGGUGCAAGCGUUGUCCGGAAUUACUGGGUGUAAAGGGAGCGCAGGCGGAUCGGCAAGUUGGAAGUGAAAACUAUGGGCUCAACCCAUAAAUUGCUUUCAAAACUGCUGGCCUUGAGUAGUGCAGAGGUAGGUGGAAUUCCCGGUGUAGCGGUGGAAUGCGUAGAUAUCGGGAGGAACACCAGUGGCGAAGGCGACCUACUGGGCACCAACUGACGCUGAGGCUCGAAAGCAUGGGUAGCAAACAG
This 251-nucleotide ribosomal RNA is filed under the name uncultured bacterium. RNAcentral describes it as "partial 16S ribosomal RNA". It matches the Rfam family "Bacterial small subunit ribosomal RNA", at positions 525 to 775 of the family's 1533-position model. The record is from RNAcentral.